Molecule: long non-coding RNA, 640 nt
Organism: Chiroxiphia lanceolata (lance-tailed manakin)
Lineage: Eukaryota; Metazoa; Chordata; Aves; Passeriformes; Pipridae
Exons: 3
Source: RefSeq, a predicted model, not a curated record
UGGCUGCAACCGUCUCCCGACAGCUGCCUCCGAGUUGACAUCUAAUCUGCCAUCUGAUUGGCUCCGCGCGCGCCAUUGGGCACCUCGCGCCGCUGAUGUAAAUAGAGGCGCUGGAGCGGCGCAGGCACAGGAGCCCCCGCCGCAAACAACGCCGGCACCGCCGGGGGCAGGGGGCACCGGCACCGCUGCUCGGGCACCUUCCCCCCUCCGUCCCCCCAUUCACUCUGGUUACACUGCGUGGUUUUCCUGGGCAUUGACUUUAUCUAUCUAUCUAUCUAUCUAUCUAUCUAUCUAUCUAUCUAUCUAUCUAUCUUAUUUGUUUUAGAUUUUUAAUUCCGCGCUAAUUGGUGGCGGUAGGGGAAGUAUCUUGUAAUAACAGUGCAUUUGGACGAGGAUUCGGGUUUUUCGCAUCACGCUGGUGCUUUCUUAAAAAAAAAAAAAAAAAAAAAAAGAAAAACAACAAAACCCCCAAGCAUUUUGUAAUGUUGCAGGUUACGGAUAUUAUGCAGGGGAUUAGGUCUUUAUUAAAAAAAAAUAAUCCCAAUACUAAUUUCAUCUAUUUGCUUGAUGCCUAACCUGUGCAUGCCUCUUAAAAAUGCCGUGUUUGCAUGUAAGCUGCUGUAGGAGUUUGGAAGAGCAC